GGGGGACAGGAUGGUGGCUCAGAUUGCAGGGGCUGCUCAGUGAGAAGUGGAAGGACUUCAGAGAGAUGUGGAGGCAAAACCCACAGGCUUGCUGAUGAAUGAAACGGGUGGAGGUGUGUGAUGCGAUACUCAAAGGCAACCUGGUCAGGUGCACAAAGUCUAGGGUUCAGAAUCCAACAGGCUUAAAUUCAAGUCCAGCUCAGCCACGUGGCUGAGUGCUGUCUGAACCUCAGCGUCCUCAGCUGUUAAACAGAGUGUCUCUCAAGAAUGAAAAUGACCAGGCCAUCCUCAUGUUCUACAGGGGUUAACCCAGCAACUUAGGGACACAGCUGGGGCAGGACUCCCGGGCUCCUGGUCAGUUCCUCUAUGGGGAUGCUAAGCCUCAGGGCUGACAUCUCUUAGCUCUGCCUUCCAGGAGAAUUUCAUAGGGGCUCCCAUUUGUGCUGCUGUGAAGGCCGUCCUGCUCCUUGUCAAGCCUGUCUUCUCCUUGCCUUGAGGAAGAUCUCUUUCGUGCCCAAAUUGUGAAUAAGUAAACUGGAUGCAGCAUCUCUGAUUGCUCU
This 560-nucleotide non-coding RNA is filed under the name Pongo abelii (Sumatran orangutan). The record is from RNAcentral. Lineage: Eukaryota; Metazoa; Chordata; Mammalia; Primates; Hominidae.